UACGAGGGGGGCAAAUGUUGUUCGGAAUCACUGGGCGUAAAGGGCGCGUAGGCGGCCUGAUAAGUCGGGGGUGAAAGCCUGUGGCUCAACCACAGAAUUGCCUUCGAUACUGUUAGGCUUGAGUAUGGUAGAGGUUGGUGGAACUGCGAGUGUAGAGGUGAAAUUCGUAGAUAUCGGGAGGAACACCGGUGGCGAAGGCGGCGACCUGGGUCGAUACUGACGCUGAGGCGCGAAAGCGUGGGGAGCAAACAGG
Molecule: ribosomal RNA, 253 nt
Filed under: uncultured bacterium
Lineage: Bacteria
Description: partial 16S ribosomal RNA
Rfam family: Bacterial small subunit ribosomal RNA
Source: RNAcentral